Molecule: ribosomal RNA, 460 nt
Filed under: uncultured bacterium
Lineage: Bacteria
Description: partial 16S ribosomal RNA
Rfam family: Bacterial small subunit ribosomal RNA
Source: RNAcentral
CCUACGGGGGGCAGCAGUGAGGAAUAUUGGUCAAUGGGCGCGAGCCUGAACCAGCCAAGUAGCGUGAAGGAUGACUGCCCUACGGGCUGUAAACUUCUUUUAUAAAGGAAUAAAGUGAGGCACGUGUCCCGUUUUGUAUGUACCUUAUGAAUAAGGAUCGGCUAACUCCGUGCCAGCAGCCGCGGUAAUACGGAGGAUCCGAGCGUUAUCCGGAUUUAUUGGGUUUAAAGGGUGCGUAGGCGGCCUUUUAAGUCAGCGGUGAAAGUCUGUGGCUCAACCAUAGAAUUGCCGUUGAAACUGGGAGGCUUGAGUAUGUUUGAGGCAGGCGGAAUGCGUGGUGUAGCGGUGAAAUGCUUAGAUAUCACGAAGAACUCCGAUUGCGAAGGCAGCUUACUAAACUGCCACUGACAUUGAUGCUCGAAAGUGUGGGUAUCAAACAGGAUUAGAUACCCCUGUAGUC